Molecule: transfer RNA, 64 nt
Filed under: Streptomyces bingchenggensis BCW-1
Lineage: Bacteria; Bacillati; Actinomycetota; Actinomycetes; Kitasatosporales; Streptomycetaceae
Description: tRNA-Ser (CGA) (tRNA-Ser-CGA-4-1)
Source: RNAcentral
GCGAAGGCGGGUCCUACUUCCACUGUUAAUGGGGUGGUUGCGGGUUCGAGUCCCGUCCGACGCC